This 326-nucleotide unclassified non-coding RNA is filed under the name Hevea brasiliensis (rubber tree). The record is from RNAcentral. Lineage: Eukaryota; Viridiplantae; Streptophyta; Magnoliopsida; Malpighiales; Euphorbiaceae.
GGGGGGCACUGGAAAUAUCUUGUUCUACAUUCCCAAAGUUUGCUUUCCCAGUCAACAUUUUAAUAACUAUUUGAGCAACUUGAGCAAACCAGUCAUCCUCUGGUAGUACACUGCCAAGAUAAUGUUGAGCAUGUUUCAGACAUCUUAGAAGUUAGAAGUUAAUUUGCCAGUCAUAUUCAUAAAGUAAUUUCAAAGGGCAUCCAUGAAUAUUGGCUAUAACAGAAGUAGACCAUAGUUUUUCUCAGGAUGUUAUAUCAUUCUACUACAUUUUUUUUAACAAAGUUAUUUUGAUUAGUUUAAUUAAUGUGACCUAGUAAGAACUUGUA